RNAcentral lists this ribosomal RNA (510 nucleotides) under Paludibacter sp. RNAcentral describes it as "bacterial SSU rRNA". It matches the Rfam family "Bacterial small subunit ribosomal RNA", at positions 8 to 526 of the family's 1533-position model. Lineage: Bacteria; Pseudomonadati; Bacteroidota; Bacteroidia; Bacteroidales; Paludibacteraceae. The record is from RNAcentral.
AGAGUUUGAUCCUGGCUCAGAAUCAACGCUGGCGGCGUGCCUCAGACAUGCAAGUCGAACGAUUAAAGCUCUCUUCGGAGAGUGUAUAGAGUGGCGCACGGGUGAGUAACACGUAAGUAAUCUACCUUCGAGUGGGGAAUAACCCGGGGAAACCCGAGCUAAUACCGCAUAAUGCAGCGGCAUCGCAAGAUGACAGUUGCUAAAGGAAUUUAUUUCGCUUGAAGAGGAGCUUGCGGCAGAUUAGCUUGUUGGUAAGGUAACGGCUUACCAAGGCUACGAUCUGUAUCCGGUCUAAGAGGACGGUCGGACACACUGACACUGAAUAACGGGUCAGACUCCUACGGGAGGCAGCAGUCGGGAAUUUUGGGCAAUGGGCGAAAGCCUGACCCAGCAACGCCGCGUGAAGGAUGAAGUAUUUCGGUAUGUAAACUUCGAAAGAAUAGGAAGAAUAAAUGACGGUACUAUUUAUAAGCUCCGGCUAACUACGUGCCAGCCGCCGCGGUAUUAAUC